UGGUGACCGUUACCAACUCUUGAUAUAAGU
This 30-nucleotide non-coding RNA is filed under the name Mus musculus (house mouse). The record is from RNAcentral. Lineage: Eukaryota; Metazoa; Chordata; Mammalia; Rodentia; Muridae.